RNAcentral lists this ribosomal RNA (562 nucleotides) under Halosaurus environmental sample. Its description in RNAcentral is "partial 16S ribosomal RNA". It matches the Rfam family "Bacterial large subunit ribosomal RNA", at positions 1919 to 2618 of the family's 2925-position model. Lineage: Eukaryota; Metazoa; Chordata; Actinopteri; Notacanthiformes; Halosauridae. The record is from RNAcentral.
AAUGUUAAACGGCCGCGGUAUUCUGACCGUGCUAAGGUAGCGUAAUCACUUGUCUUUUAAAUGAAGACCCGUAUGAACGGCAUCACGAGGGCUCAACUGUCUCCUCUCCCCAGUCAAUGAAAUUGAUCUGCCCGUGCAGAAGCGGACAUAAAAACAUAAGACGAGAAGACCCUAUGGAGCUUAAGACAAAAAGCCAAGCAUGUUAAACAACCCAUAAACCUAACGGAAUAAAAGGUAAUUAAGCCCUAUGCUGCAUGGCUGGAGUGUCUUCGGUUGGGGCGACCUCGGAGGAAAAACAAGCCUCCGCAUGGAAUGGGGAUACACCCCUAAAACUAAGAAACACAAAUCUAAGUAACAAAAUAUUUGACCAACAAUGACCCGGACUCGAUCCGAUCAAUGAACCAAGUUACCCUAGGGAUAACAGCGCAAUCCUUUCCCAGAGUCCAUAUCGACGAAGGGGUUUACGACCUCGAUGUUGGAUCAGGACAUCCUAAUGGUGCAGCCGCUAUUAAGGGUUCGUUUGUUCAACGAUUAAAGUCCUACGUGAUCUGAGUUCAGACCG